RNAcentral lists this ribosomal RNA (486 nucleotides) under uncultured bacterium. RNAcentral describes it as "partial 16S ribosomal RNA". It matches the Rfam family "Bacterial small subunit ribosomal RNA", at positions 28 to 523 of the family's 1533-position model. The record is from RNAcentral.
GAUGAACGCUGGCGGCGUGCUUAACACAUGCAAGUCGAACGGAAAGGCCUCAGCUUGCGGGGGUACUCGAGUGGCGAACGGGUGAGUAACACGUGGGUGAUCUGCCCUGCACUUUGGGAUAAGCUUGGGAAACUGGGUCUAAUACCGAAUAUGACCACUUCUUGGAUGUUGUGGUGGAAAGCUUUUGCGGUGUGGGAUGAGCCUGCGGCCUAUCAGCUUGUUGGUGGGGUAAUGGCCUACCAAGGCGGCGACGGGUAUCCGGCCUGAGAGGGUGUACGGACACAUUGGGACUGAGAUACGGCCCAGACUCCUACGGGAGGCAGCAGUGGGGAAUAUAGCACAAUGGGCGCAAGCCUGAUGCAGCGACGCCGCGUGGGGGAUGAAGGCCUUCGGGUUGUAAACUCCUUUCGCUAUCGACGAAGCCACUUGUGGUGACGGUAGGUAGAUAAGAAGCACCGGCUAACUACGUGCCAGCAGCCGCAGUAA